RNAcentral lists this transfer RNA (84 nucleotides) under mouse gut metagenome. It matches the Rfam family "tRNA". Rfam says of the family: Transfer RNA (tRNA) molecules are approximately 80 nucleotides in length. The record is from RNAcentral. RNAcentral also lists the same sequence under 1 other name.
GAGAGUUGGCCGAGUGGUUUAAGGCGCUGGUCUUGAAAACCAGUGAUUCCGAAAGGAACCGUGGGUUCGAAUCCCACAUUCUCC